UCGAGAAUUUUUCUCAAUGGGGGAAACCCUGAAGGAGCGACGCCGCGUGGAGGAUGAAGGUUUUCGGAUUGUAAACUCCUGUCAUCCGGGAGCAAUGCUGCACUAUUAACUGUAGUGUAGUUGAUCGUACCGGAAGAGGAAGAGACGGCUAACUCUGUGCCAGCAGCCGCGGUAAUACAGAGGUCUCGAGCGUUGUUCGGAUUUAUUGGGCGUAAAGGGUGCGUAGGCGGCGAGCUAAGUUUGGUGUGAAAUCCUGGGGCUUAACCUCAGAAAUGCACUGAAUACUGGUUUGCUAGAGGACUGGAGAGGAGAUUGGAAUUCACGGUGUAGCAGUGAAAUGCGUAGAUAUCGUGAGGAAGACCAGUGGCGAAAGCGAAUCUCUGGACAGUUCCUGACGCUGAGGCACGAAGGCUAGGGGAGCAAACGG
This 427-nucleotide ribosomal RNA is filed under the name uncultured bacterium. Its description in RNAcentral is "bacterial SSU rRNA". It matches the Rfam family "Bacterial small subunit ribosomal RNA", at positions 355 to 775 of the family's 1533-position model. The record is from RNAcentral.